This 629-nucleotide ribosomal RNA is filed under the name Bacillus sp. (in: firmicutes). Its description in RNAcentral is "bacterial SSU rRNA". It matches the Rfam family "Bacterial small subunit ribosomal RNA", at positions 51 to 662 of the family's 1533-position model. The record is from RNAcentral. Lineage: Bacteria; Bacillati; Bacillota; Bacilli; Caryophanales; Bacillaceae.
AUACAUGCAGUCGAGCGAACUGAUUAGAAGCUUGCUUCUAUGACGUUAGCGGCGGACGGGUGAGUAACACGUGGGCAACCUGCCUGUAAGACUGGGAUAACUUCGGGAAACCGAAGCUAAUACCGGAUAACAUCAUUCCUUGCAUAAGGAAUGAUUGAAAGAUGGUUUCGGCUAUCACUUACAGAUGGGCCCGCGGUGCAUUAGCUAGUUGGUGAGGUAACGGCUCACCAAGGCAACGAUGCAUAGCCGACCUGAGAGGGUGAUCGGCCACACUGGGACUGAGACACGGCCCAGACUCCUACGGGAGGCAGCAGUAGGGAAUCUUCCGCAAUGGACGAAAGUCUGACGGAGCAACGCCGCGUGAGUGAUGAAGGCUUUCGGGUCGUAAAACUCUGUUGUUAGGGAAGAACAAGUAUGAGAGUAACUGCUCGUACCUUGACGGUACCUAACCAGAAAGCCACGGCUAACUACGUGCCAGCAGCCGCGGUAAUACGUAGGUGGCAAGCGUUAUCCGGAAUUAUUGGGCGUAAAGCGCGCGCAGGCGGUUUCUUAAGUCUGAUGUGAAAGCCCACGGCUCAACCGUGGAGGGUCAUUGGAAACUGGGGAACUUGAGUGCAGAAGAGAAAAGC